CCUACGGGAGACAGCAGUAGGGAAUCUUCCACAAUGGGCGAAAGCCUGAUGGAGCAACGCCGCGUGGGUGAAGAAGGUCUUCGGAUCGUAAAACCCUGUUGUUAGAGAAGAAAGUGCGUGAGAGUAACUGUUCACGUUUCGACGGUAUCUAACCAGAAAGCCACGGCUAACUCCGUGCCAGCAGCCGCGGUAAUACGUAGGUGGCAAGCGUUGUCCGGAUUUAUUGGGCGUAAAGGGAACGGAGGCGGUCUUUUAAGUCUGAUGUGAAAGCCUUCGGCUUAACCGGAGUAGUGCAUUGGAAACUGGGAGACUUGAGUGCAGAAGAGGAGAGUGGAACUCGAGGUGUAGCGGUGAAAUGCGUAGAUAUAGGGAAGAACACCAGUGGCGAAGGCGGCUUUCUGGUCUGUAACUGACGCUGAGGUUCGAAAGCGUGGGUAGCAAACAGGAUUAGAUACCCGAGUAGUC
Molecule: ribosomal RNA, 465 nt
Filed under: uncultured bacterium
Lineage: Bacteria
Description: partial 16S ribosomal RNA
Rfam family: Bacterial small subunit ribosomal RNA
Source: RNAcentral